RNAcentral lists this ribosomal RNA (697 nucleotides) under Acinetobacter baumannii OIFC137. RNAcentral's name for it is "bacterial SSU rRNA". It matches the Rfam family "Bacterial small subunit ribosomal RNA", at positions 55 to 746 of the family's 1533-position model. The record is from RNAcentral. Lineage: Bacteria; Pseudomonadati; Pseudomonadota; Gammaproteobacteria; Moraxellales; Moraxellaceae.
AUGCAAGUCGAGCGGGGGAAGGUAGCUUGCUACCGGACCUAGCGGCGGACGGGUGAGUAAUGCUUAGGAAUCUGCCUAUUAGUGGGGGACAACAUCUCGAAAGGGAUGCUAAUACCGCAUACGUCCUACGGGAGAAAGCAGGGGAUCUUCGGACCUUGCGCUAAUAGAUGAGCCUAAGUCGGAUUAGCUAGUUGGUGGGGUAAAGGCCUACCAAGGCGACGAUCUGUAGCGGGUCUGAGAGGAUGAUCCGCCACACUGGGACUGAGACACGGCCCAGACUCCUACGGGAGGCAGCAGUGGGGAAUAUUGGACAAUGGGGGGAACCCUGAUCCAGCCAUGCCGCGUGUGUGAAGAAGGCCUUAUGGUUGUAAAGCACUUUAAGCGAGGAGGAGGCUACUUUAGUUAAUACCUAGAGAUAGUGGACGUUACUCGCAGAAUAAGCACCGGCUAACUCUGUGCCAGCAGCCGCGGUAAUACAGAGGGUGCGAGCGUUAAUCGGAUUUACUGGGCGUAAAGCGUGCGUAGGCGGCUUAUUAAGUCGGAUGUGAAAUCCCCGAGCUUAACUUGGGAAUUGCAUUCGAUACUGGUGAGCUAGAGUAUGGGAGAGGAUGGUAGAAUUCCAGGUGUAGCGGUGAAAUGCGUAGAGAUCUGGAGGAAUACCGAUGGCGAAGCAGCCAUCUGGCCCUAAUACUGACGC